Non-coding RNA from Oryzias latipes (Japanese medaka), 4485 nucleotides. NCBI's taxonomy places the organism in Eukaryota, Metazoa, Chordata, Actinopteri, Beloniformes, Adrianichthyidae. The record is from RefSeq and is a predicted model, not a curated record.
CUCUCCAUCAGGAACUCAUUACUGUUAUUAUAUGCUGUAAGCCGAAUCCGUGGAUAUGUGGACGGAGUAGCGUGCUCUUAAGUGGCAGCAUAGCAUGAAGACUGUGAUGCAUGUAGUGCACAGUGAUGUCCAGCAGCUGUUGGGCGGCGUUUCAUCUCCUCGCCGCUCUGUUGACAGUGGACACUGUCCUACGAACACUCAGCAGUUUGCCUCCAUUACUGAAUGCAAUCAUCAUCUCCAAACGUGGGGCUGGACUAUGUUCUAAGCAACCUCUGUCCCAACUCUGUCAGAGGGAUGAGAGGAAAUGGUGGUUUUAGGAUCCACCUGAGGCUAUCUGCCCCCCCAAAAGGGUUCAGCCCACACAGUGCAUUAAACACAGAGAGACAUGCAAAGUUAUUGUUUUAUCAUGAAGUACAAAAACUGUCAGUUCAACAGUAAAGUGAUCCAGUCGAUGAUCGUGUCUGUGUUUGUCAAAUGUCAGAACCUGAAGUGAUAAAUGGCUUUUAGCUCUAAAGCAGGUUUUGAAGCCAGAAUGGUGCAGUUAGGGAUCAACAGCUGCAGACAUCAGCAGCGUCAAACACCAACAAACUGUAGAAUAUUUAUAGAAAAGACACUAAAACUGUGCUGAGAACGCAUUCACUUCAGACUUCAAAUUUAAUUCAUGCUUUUCAUUCUGGUUUAAACAAGAAGCGCUUUACACAUAAAAACAAAUAAAAUACUCAUAACAAAUGAACAGAAAGAAAAAAAUACAUGACAGUCACACAAAAUUAGCCUCCCUCCCUCUCUUAAUUCCUCCCACCCAGUUUUCCCAAUAUAACCCUUUUAAAGCUAUUAAAACCUGGAGGGGUGGAUGUGUCCUGUGGCCGAACAUGACGGACGGCAGUCAUGUUGGGACAAAACAUCAGUGCAGCCCUGAGGUGAAUGAGGAGGAUGAACCAGUGUCAUGAACCGGCGGUCAGGCUGAUGUUCAAGACCAUAACGAGUCCAAAAGAUGCUGUCAGCAGAUCUCACCUGUAUGUACAGAACUAAGAACACUCCUCUGACAUGGCAUGCAUUUCUCAUAAUAGAAGUGCCAGUAUUUAUGAUUUAUGAUUUUAAAAGCAAAGCAGAAACUUUCUGGACUUGAACUUCUCUCAGGAUCACUCAGACUUUAUAGAAGAAGAAACUUCACAUGGAUUCCCAGCCACUGUGAUUCAGUGUCAUUGGUAUUAGAAGAGAUACUGAAACUCUAAGUGAAGUUCUAUGGUAUAAAAUAAUCACACUGAAAAGAUGUCACGUUGAUGUGCGAAAAGUAGAAACACAAGUGAUAAUAACUCUCUGCUGAGCAUCCUAAAGUAAGGUUACUCAAUUUGGCAUACACUUUUUAAAUCAAAAUAGACCUUAUGCAUUUUUUCCUGACUUCAAAUAAAAUCCAGAAAUCAGUUCGACAACAGCCCAGUCUACCACCAAAACAUUUCUGUCUGCAGAUACAGCCUGAUAAGAGCUGAUUGCACUGCAGGUAUGUCUGCUGUGAGCCACGCUUUAGCUCUUUAGCUCUAGUACAGAGUGUUUUUCUGUACUCUCCGUUCUUCAAGUCGACAUGGAUUCACCGCCUCUAACUAACUGCAAUACACUUAAAUUGGGCUGCAUAGGAAAAGCAAUUGGUCUGAAAGUCUUUUAAAUCACCUGCUGUAUUGCCAUUUUCCCUCCGUGUGGGUUCGAUGGGAGCUGGAGAAGCGAGGAUGCUCUCCCUGCCAGUGUGGGAGGAACUGACACCUUCUAGCUUUGGCUCAGGAAACCAAACCCACAUCAAGCAAACGGCCCAUGUGCCACUCUCUUCCUCUUUAAAUUGCUCAAGUCUACAUCCAGGUUAUAUCCUUCAGGACUCCCAGGCUGAGGUGAUCUCUGUUGUUCAUUCUACCAGGGUUUGGAUUAUACGAGGAACUACAAACAUGGAGUUGUUGGUAGUUCUUUGUUGAUGAGAGUUAAACCCACAGUAGUCAGGGAAAUCAUCUAAAACAAUUAAAAACAUAAUAAAACAUUAAAAGUACUAAAAAUAAACCCAUAAAAUCAGACGUUUCUGUUGAGUAGUUGUUUAACAGAACCAUUUUACAAAGCAAACCUAAUAUAACAAGUGUGGACUUAAGGAUUUGUGCUCCAAAAAUGAUUUGACCAUAAAUCAAUUCUGUUCUCUCGGCGGCAUGAUGCAUGGUGCUGCUUGGUGAUGGUCUGAGCCACACUGAGCAUGGACAACAGACAGAGAAGGAGAGAGUUUUUCUGGAGAUUAGUAAGAAAUCAGAGCCAAAAAUGUUGAAGGCUGCUGGAACGUCUCCAAGCAGCUGGAUGUUCCUGUGACUACAGCUGCUUUACAUAUUAGAAAAUGUACACAUUUACAGGUCUCUGGAUGUGGCAGCAAAAAGAGAAACUGAUGUCUGAUCAGCUUAUCAGCAACGUUUGUUGAAAGUGAUCAUUUUCCUUUUUAUUCAACUAUCAGGAUAUAAUUAAACAUCCCACCUUGUCCUUUGAGCGUAUAAGACGGAACCAAGAACAAGAUCUUUGUUUACAGAUGCAGAAACGAAGCCUAUCAAGGAAAGAAGACCAUCCCUGCUGUAUACAUGGAGAAGGCUUGUUUAUGGUCUGGGCUGCAUUGAGGCGUCAUAAGAAGGCCCUGGUUCGAAUCUCUGCCGGGUCCUUCCUGUGUGAAGUUACAUGUUCUCCUCAUGGAUACGAGGACAACAUGUAACUUCAGAGUGUGAAGCGCAUGGACUGGCAAACUGUUCCCCAGUUGUUGCGUAGGCUCCAGCACCUCCAUGACCCCCAUACAUGGGAAAAAGGUGACUUUAGAAAGUUGAUGGACAGAUGUGCUGCACUUCUGGCUCUAGAACAGGGUGUGUUGAAUAUGAAUCUCCUUGACUUCUACUUCCACAGAGCAUGAAUCCACACUCCCAGCCACUUACCCUCCCAGCUCUCUGCCAACACCAGCCUGCUCAGCUGGAUCUGCUGUUCACAGGCGUCGUGUUAUUGUAGGCGCUGUAAGCUGCCGAACACCCCAGUAAAGCCCCAAAGGCCCUCUCUAGUGCUGCCUAAUCCACCUUAUUGUGUGACGCCUACCAGCCAUUCAACAAGUCUUAACCUCUCACGUCCCCGGAGCAUUCCCCCACCGCUCUAAUGACGGCGAUCCUUUCCUUUGGGGCUGAUGUCACAAGGGAGACACCGUGUCCUGCGACCCUGAUGGCCAGACUUCAAAGAAACGACAAGUCAGCACAAGAUGUGAGGCUGGAAAAAGCUAUCAGUGCAACAGCAGAGGAUGCCACAGCUGGAGAUAACAGGGCAGAGUUUCAGGCGGCGGCAGCAGUGAGCUGGUGAUGGUGGGAGCUCUCAAGACGAGGAAGGAAAUAAAAGUGACCGAUUUUUGGAGACAUCUCUUCUCAGGUCCUGCUGAGCUCUGAUCAGGUCAAGGAUUGGACAUGCAACAUCAUGAUUCUUCUCUUCUCAGCCUUUCUGCUGUUUUCGCUGCUGAUCUCGAGACCAUUGUCCAGUUGCAUGACCCAAUUUCCGCCCAGCUUUAGCUUUCAGACAGAUGGCCUCAUUUGAGUAUAGAAUACUUUGCUUUGUCAACACACGGGAGUGAUGAUGGUUUGCAUAAUCACUAAACAGUAAAAAAGGUUUCAGGUUCUUCCUGCAUGAUGCUCUUUCCACAACUUAACAACAUAAAAAUUUUGUGUGGUGUUUUGUUUAAUUUUGUGUCAAACUGGUGUCUUGCUUUGGGUCACCCACCUUUAAUGCACUGUCAAUGGGAGCAUGCUCCAUCCCCAUGGGGACCUUAAACUGAAUAGCUGUAGAAAAUAGACUUUAGAGCUGAGCCACACCAGUAGAAAACAUCAUCAUCAAAGAUAUUGUAGAUGUUUGAUACAGGACAUCAUGUCAUUAUCAACAUAUGAGGCCUGUUCUGCACAAUCCACGGAAAGCUUUCCAGUUGGAGGAAUGAGCUCACAUUAGGGAAAAAGCUCAUUAAAAUCUACAGGAGAUCAUCCUGAUGGACUGUGAAAAGCCAGGCUUAACACACCCUUCUGUACACAUUAAUACGGAUGGAGACACGCAUAUCACAUACAGAAUCUCUGCACGUAUGACAGGAAAAAUGCUGCUGAAGGAUAUGAGCUGAGAGCUUAUAUCCUGAGAAUCUGGUGCUGAAGCUGAAGAUUUGUAUUUUUUAAAGUGAAUAAAUAACAACUCUUAAUUAACCAAUAUUUUUGUUACAUUUAAUAUCUGAUUUCCGAGUUAGGAUUUCUUACAAUACUGUUUUCAUACAGACGUGCUGCUUCUGUCACAGCCAGACUGUGUGGUGUUGGGGCCUGUGCUUGCAGUCCCACCUUCCUGACUGUAGUGAACCAGUGCACUACAGUCAGCAGGCAGUCAUCAUUCAAAAGCAGAGAAACUGAAAAACAUUGUGUCUUCAAUGAAACCAGAGAGGAAAUAGUUGAAUUUAGUCUUUUUGAAGAAGUUUAA